CUGGUGAGGGCGUCUAAUUGCGGCGAAAGCUGAGGAAAGUCCGGACUCCAUAGGGCAGGGUGCCAGCUAACGGCUGGGCGUGUAAGGCGACGGCAAGUGCAACAGAAAGCAAACCGCCAAUAUUAAAUAUUUGGUAAGGGUGAAACGUUGUGGUAAGAGCACAACAGUAGCUUUGGAAACAAGGCUAGCUAGGUAAACCCCACUCGGUGCAAGGUCCGAUAGGGAGAGAGAGUUUGCCCGACUCGUUAAAAUCUCCGGGAUGACCGCGUAAGGUAAUUGGCGACAAUUAUCUCAGAAAGAUGAUUAGAGCUCGCAAGAGUACAGAAUCCGGCUUAUAACCCUCCUAGGCAG
This 351-nucleotide RNase P RNA is filed under the name Trueperaceae bacterium. RNAcentral's name for it is "RNase P RNA component class A". It matches the Rfam family "Bacterial RNase P class A". From Rfam's summary of the family: Ribonuclease P (RNase P) is a ubiquitous endoribonuclease, found in archaea, bacteria and eukarya as well as chloroplasts and mitochondria. Lineage: Bacteria; Thermotogati; Deinococcota; Deinococci; Trueperales; Trueperaceae. The record is from RNAcentral.